Molecule: long non-coding RNA, 238 nt
Filed under: Brassica rapa (field mustard)
Lineage: Eukaryota; Viridiplantae; Streptophyta; Magnoliopsida; Brassicales; Brassicaceae
Description: long non-coding RNA (BRAP_LNC007775)
Source: RNAcentral
UCAUGUUUGUGUGUGUCCUUGUAAUUUUAAUCGGUUUGUUUACUUUGAUUCCCACGUAUGGGCUCAGUCUCAGGGGACAUCUAUGCGUCUGCCUGCUUAGUGUCUUCAGUCUUUAACUCUAUGUUCCUUUGGUUCGUUAAUGAAAUUUACAGAGGGAAAAGAAAAAGUCGGGCCUGCAUCAAAUAUUAUCUUUUAAAGUUACCAGAUGGAUAUAAAAUAGUAUCAAACACUAAGACCG